UACGAAGGGGGCUAGCGUUGUUCGGAAUCACUGGGCGUAAAGGGCGCGUAGGCGGCUUUUCAAGUCGGGGGUGAAAGCCUGUGGCUCAACCACAGAAUUGCCUUCGAUACUGUUAGGCUUGAGACCGGAAGAGGUGAGUGGAACUGCGAGUGUAGAGGUGAAAUUCGUAGAUAUCAGGAGGAACACCGGUGGCGAAGGCGGUUCUCUGGGCAUGAUCUGACGCUGAGGAGCGAAAGUGUGGGGAGCGAACAGG
Molecule: ribosomal RNA, 253 nt
Filed under: uncultured bacterium
Lineage: Bacteria
Description: partial 16S ribosomal RNA
Rfam family: Bacterial small subunit ribosomal RNA
Source: RNAcentral